This 467-nucleotide ribosomal RNA is filed under the name uncultured bacterium. RNAcentral's name for it is "partial 16S ribosomal RNA". It matches the Rfam family "Bacterial small subunit ribosomal RNA", at positions 28 to 507 of the family's 1533-position model. The record is from RNAcentral.
GAUGAACGCUGGCGGCGUGCUUAACACAUGCAAGUCGAACGGAAAGGCCCAAGCUUGCUUGGGUACUCGAGUGGCGAACGGGUGAGUAACACGUGGGUGAUCUGCCCUGCACUUCGGGAUAAGCCUGGGAAACUGGGUCUAAUACCGGAUAGGACCACAUUUUGGAUGGUGUGGUGGAAAGUUUUUCGGUGUGGGAUGAGCUCGCGGCCUAUCAGCUUGUUGGUGGGGUAAUGGCCUACCAAGGCGUCGACGGGUAGCCGGCCUGAGAGGGUGUACGGCCACAUUGGGACUGAGAUAAGGCCCAGACUCCUACGGGAGGCAGCAGUGGGGAAUAUUGCACAAUGGGCGCAAGCCUGAUGCAGCGACGCCGCGUGGGGGAUGACGGCCUUCGGGUUGUAAACUCCUUUCGCUAGGGACGAAGCGUUUUUGUGACGGUACCUGGAGAAGAAGCACCGGCUAACUACGUG